GAGGGUAUAGCUAAGUGGUAGAGUGCAUGCUUGCCGUGCAUGACAUCCUGGGUUCAAUCCCCAGUACCUCCA
Molecule: transfer RNA, 72 nt
Filed under: Camelus ferus (Wild Bactrian camel)
Lineage: Eukaryota; Metazoa; Chordata; Mammalia; Artiodactyla; Camelidae
Rfam family: tRNA
About the family: Transfer RNA (tRNA) molecules are approximately 80 nucleotides in length. Their secondary structure includes four short double-helical elements and three loops (D, anti-codon, and T loops). Further hydrogen bonds mediate the characteristic L-shaped molecular structure. tRNAs have two regions of fundamental functional importance: the anti-codon, which is responsible for specific mRNA codon recognition, and the 3' end, to which the tRNAs corresponding amino acid is attached (by aminoacyl-tRNA synthetases). tRNAs cope with the degeneracy of the genetic code in two manners: having more than one tRNA (with a specific anti-codon) for a particular amino acid; and 'wobble' base-pairing, i.e. permitting non-standard base-pairing at the 3rd anti-codon position.
Source: Rfam by way of RNAcentral